This 373-nucleotide ribosomal RNA is filed under the name uncultured organism. RNAcentral's name for it is "bacterial SSU rRNA". It matches the Rfam family "Bacterial small subunit ribosomal RNA", at positions 526 to 896 of the family's 1533-position model. The record is from RNAcentral.
CAGAGGUCCCGAGCGUUGUUCGGAUUUAUUGGGCGUAAAGGGUGCGUAGGCGGCGGAGUAAGUUGGGUGUGAAAUCCCGGGGGCUCAACCUCGGAAUUGCAUUCAAUACUGCUUCGCUCGAGUACUAGAGAGGAGGCUGGAAUUUACGGUGUAGCAGUGAAAUGCGUAGAUAUCGUAAGGAAGGCCGGUGGCGAAAGCGAGCCUCUGGACAGUUACUGACGCUGAUGCACGAAGGCCAGGGGAGCAAACGGGAUUAGAUACCCCGGUAGUCCUGGCAGUAAACGGUGCGCGUUUGGUGUGGGGGGAUUCGACAAUCUCCGCGCCGGAGCUAACGCGUUAAACGCGCCGCCUGGGAAAUACGGUCGCAAGAUUA